UGGGGGAUAUUGCACAAUGGGGGAAACCCUGAUGCAGCAACGCCGCGUGAACGAAGAAGGCCUUCGGGUUGUAAAGUUCUGUUCUUAGUGAAGAAGCAUGACGGUAGCUAAGGAGAAAGCUCCGGCUAACUACGUGCCAGCAGCCGCGGUAAUACGUAGGGAGCGAGCGUUGUCCGGAUUUACUGGGUGUAAAGGGUGCGCAGGCGGCCAGGCAAGUCAGGCGUGAAAACUGUGGGCUUAACCCGCAGACUGCGUUUGAAACUGCAUGGCUUGAGUGAAGUAGAGGCAGGCGGAAUUCCCGGUGUAGCGGUGAAAUGCGUAGAGAUCGGGAGGAACACCAGUGGCGAAGGCGGCCUGCUGGGCUUUAACUGACGCUCAGGCACGAAAGCAUGGGUAGCAAACA
This 403-nucleotide ribosomal RNA is filed under the name uncultured bacterium. Its description in RNAcentral is "bacterial SSU rRNA". It matches the Rfam family "Bacterial small subunit ribosomal RNA", at positions 355 to 774 of the family's 1533-position model. The record is from RNAcentral.